GAGUUUGAUCCUGGCUCAGGAUGAACGCUAGCGGCAGGCCUAAUACAUGCAAGUCGAACGGUCUUUAGCAAUAGAGAUAGUGGCGCACGGGUGCGUAACGCGUAACCAACCUACCCGAAUCUGGGGGAUAGCCCGCCGAAAGGCGGAUUAAUACCGCAUAAAACCACAGUGUGGCAUCACACAAUGGUUAAAGAUUUAUUGGAUUCGGAUGGGGUUGCGUGCCAUUAGCUAGUUGGGGGGGUAACGGCCCACCAAGGCGACGAUGGCUAGGGGAGCUGAGAGGCUGGUCCCCCACACGGGCACUGAGAUACGGGCCCGACUCCUACGGGAGGCAGCAGUAGGGAAUAUUGGGCAAUGGUCGAGAGACUGACCCAGCCAUGCCGCGUGCAGGAUGAAGGCUUUCUGAGUCGUAAACUGCUUUUGCCAGGGAAGAAUAAGGGGGAUGCGUCCUCCGACGACGGUACCUGGUGAAUAANCACCGGCUAACUCCGUGCCAGCAGCCGCGGUAAUACGGAGGGUGCAAGCGUUGUCCGGAUUUAUUGGGUUUAAAGGGUGCGUAAGCNGCCGAUUAANUCUGGGGUGAAAGCCCUUGCUCAACAACGGAACUGCC
Molecule: ribosomal RNA, 610 nt
Filed under: uncultured Cytophagales bacterium
Lineage: Bacteria; Pseudomonadati; Bacteroidota; Sphingobacteriia; Sphingobacteriales
Description: bacterial SSU rRNA
Rfam family: Bacterial small subunit ribosomal RNA
Source: RNAcentral